GGGGGGGGGGGGGGGGGGGGGUGGCGGGGGGAGGUCGGGCGGGGGUGCGGGGGGUGGCGGCGGCGGGCGGGGGGGUCACGCGUGGGCAGGUGCCCUUCGGGUCGGGAUGCCUCAGGGAAACUUGAGCUACUACCGGAUACGUGCGCGAGCAGCAAGGUUUAUCUGCCGAAGGAUCGGCCCGCGUCUGAUUAGCUCGUUGGUGAGGUUAUGGCUCACCAAGGCGACGAUCACUAGCUGGUCUGAGAGGAUGAUCAGCCACACUGGGACUGAGACACGGCCCAGACUCCUACGGGAGGCAGCAGUGGGGAAUAUUGGACAAUGGGGGCAACCCUGAUCCAGCCAUGCCGCGUGAGUGAUGACGGCCUGAGGGUUGUAAAGCUCUUUUCUCCGGGACGAUAAUGACGGUACCGGAGGAAUAAGCCCCGGCUAACUUCGUG
This 437-nucleotide ribosomal RNA is filed under the name uncultured bacterium. Its description in RNAcentral is "partial 16S ribosomal RNA". The stretch from base 47 to 437 matches the Rfam family "Bacterial small subunit ribosomal RNA", at positions 39 to 507 of the family's 1533-position model. The record is from RNAcentral.